Molecule: ribosomal RNA, 468 nt
Filed under: uncultured bacterium
Lineage: Bacteria
Description: partial 16S ribosomal RNA
Rfam family: Bacterial small subunit ribosomal RNA
Source: RNAcentral
GAUGAACGCUGGCGGCGUGCCUAAUACAUGCAAGUCGAACGGAAAGGCCCUGCUUUUGUGUGGUGCUCGAGUGGCGAACGGGUGAGUAACACGUGAGUAACCUGCCCUUUACUUUGGGAUAACUUUUGGAAACUGUGGCUAAUACCGCAUAUCAGCUCUUGCUGCAUGGUGGCGGUUGGAAAGUUUCGGCGGAUCGGGAAGGACUCGCGGCUUCUUUGCUUUAUGGUGGGGUAGUGGCUUACAAAGGCUAUGACGGGUAGCCGGACUGAGAGUGUGACCGGCCACAUUGUGACUGAGGAAGGACCAAGACGGAAACGGCAGGAAGGGGCGGAAGACAGAGCGAAAAAGGCGGAAGGAGGAAAGAAGGAUGUCGGGUGGGGAAUGACGGCUGUAGGGGUAGAAACAGCGUGAGACUGUAACGUAGAGUGAGUGACGGUAAUGGAUAAGAAAGCAACGGCUAACUACGUG